GUAGGUGGCAAGCGUUGUCCGGAAUUAUUGGGCGUAAAGCGCGCGCAGGCGGUUCCUUAAGUCUGAUGUGAAAGCCCACGGCUCAACCGUGGAGGGUCAUUGGAAACUGGAGAACUUGAGUACAGAAGAGGAAAGCGGAAUUCCACGUGUAGCGGUGAAAUGCGUAGAGAUGUGGAGGAACACCAGUGGCGAAGGCGGCUUUCUGGUCUGUAACUGACGCUGAGGCGCGAAAGCGUGGGGAGCAAACAGGGAUUAGAUACCCUGGUAGUCCACGCCGUAAACGAUGAGUGCUAAGUGUUAGGGGGGUUUCCGCCCCCUUAGUGCUGCAGCUAACGCAUUAAGCACUCCGCCUGGGGAGUACGGCCGCAAGGCUG
RNAcentral lists this ribosomal RNA (374 nucleotides) under uncultured organism. RNAcentral's name for it is "partial 16S ribosomal RNA". It matches the Rfam family "Bacterial small subunit ribosomal RNA", at positions 527 to 896 of the family's 1533-position model. The record is from RNAcentral.